This 302-nucleotide long non-coding RNA is filed under the name Salmo salar (Atlantic salmon). RNAcentral's name for it is "lncRNA (ENSSSAG00000085623.1)". Lineage: Eukaryota; Metazoa; Chordata; Actinopteri; Salmoniformes; Salmonidae. The record is from RNAcentral.
UAGCCUUAGUAGAGGGUUAUUUACUAAGGUUAUUAACUAAGGUUAUUAGCCUUAGUAGAGGGUUAUUAACUAAGGUUAUUAGCCUUAGUAGAGGGUUAUUAACUGACUGGUGGGGGUGUGGCGGUACCUUGACGGUGCUGUCUACGGCUCCAGAGAACAGGCGCCCCCUGCUGACGGCCAGGGCAGUUACACUCCCCUGGUGUCUGAGGAGGGUCUGGGUACAGAUCAUGUUGUCCAUGCUCCACACCUGUUAACACACACAGGCAGCGUUACUGUAAACACACACACACACACACACAGUU